UGGGGUGUGGCUCAGUGGUAGAGCGCUCACCUAGCAUGUGCAAGGCCCUGGGUUCCAUCCUCAGAACCACAU
Ictidomys tridecemlineatus (thirteen-lined ground squirrel) is the source of this 72-nucleotide non-coding RNA. The record is from Rfam. Lineage: Eukaryota; Metazoa; Chordata; Mammalia; Rodentia; Sciuridae.